This 446-nucleotide ribosomal RNA is filed under the name uncultured bacterium. RNAcentral describes it as "bacterial SSU rRNA". It matches the Rfam family "Bacterial small subunit ribosomal RNA", at positions 330 to 793 of the family's 1533-position model. The record is from RNAcentral.
ACCAGACUCCUACGGGAGGCAGCAGUGGGGAAUAUUGCACAGUGGGGGAAACCCUGAUGCAGCGACGCCGCGUGAGUGAAGAAGUAUUUCGGUAUGUAAAGCUCUAUCAGCAGGGAAGAUAAUGACGGUACCUGACUAAGAAGCCCCGGCUAACUACGUGCCAGCAGCCGCGGUAAUACGUAGGGGGCAAGCGUUAUCCGGAUUUACUGGGUGUAAAGGGUGCGCAGGUGGCAGGGCAAGUCAGAUGUGAAAGCCCGGGGCUCAACCCCGGUAUUGCAUUUGAAACUGUCCGGCUAGAGUGCAGGAGAGGUAAGCGGAAUUCCUAGUGUAGCGGUGAAAUGCAUAGAUAUUAGGAGGAACACCAGUGGCGAAGGCGGCUUACUGGACUGUAACUGACACUGAGGCACGAAAGCGUGGGGAGCAAACAGGAUUAGAUACCCGAGUAC